RNAcentral lists this long non-coding RNA (239 nucleotides) under Sorghum bicolor (sorghum). RNAcentral's name for it is "long non-coding RNA (SBIC_LNC002160)". The record is from RNAcentral. Lineage: Eukaryota; Viridiplantae; Streptophyta; Magnoliopsida; Poales; Poaceae.
GGCCAAAUUAACACAAUGGAGAAAGAUCUAUAAUUUUCAAAACCAAAUCUUAUUUCUUUGGUCAAUAAAGGUUUUCGUUGUAUUGAGAUAUACUCCCACAAAAAUAAAAUCCAAAACCCCUAAAAACCAUUGAAUGUCCCAGCAUAAAGGAAAUUAGUAAUUCAGCAAAAAAAAAUAAAUAUACACAAAAUUAUGACAUACCAAACCUAGGGAAAUUAAUGUAUCCCACACUUUUAAUC